GAUGAAGUUCUUGUUAACGUUUCUAAUAUGCUUUUGGCUAGCCCCAAAUCCUCCAUUAGGAUCAUGUCAAACCGAUGCGCUUAUCAAACUUGAACUGGAAAAUAUCAGAGGGUUUGCUAAUAACAAUCCUGAGUUCACGGGGUGGCGUGACCGGCUUCUGGAUGCACUAAAACCGAUUUCCGAACAAUCGAAGAUGCAAACUCUGCAAGAUUUUCAACGGUGGAAUGUGCAGAGACUUGACUUGGAGAAGCAAAUAUUUCACAUUUGCGAAAAACUCCAAAAGUCAAUUAUGGGAAAAUGUCAUGAAACCUUUAGAAAACUACGUGAUGCAUGCGUUUGGAGUCUUACAAAAACAAACACCAAGAAAGCAGAUGUCAUAAACGUAAUUAAGAAAGCGAAAUGUCUCGGUAUGACACGAGGCAAAGAGAAGGACUAUGGUCUGGAUUUUUAAUUAGGCAUUGGCCUUUCACACCCGAUACACCAUAUGAAUUCUGAUGAUUUUUUGAAACUAUACAAUAUAUUUGAUAUGCGCAAUA
Long non-coding RNA from Drosophila persimilis, 536 nucleotides. RefSeq lists it as uncharacterized. The record is from RefSeq and is a predicted model, not a curated record. NCBI's taxonomy places the organism in Eukaryota, Metazoa, Arthropoda, Insecta, Diptera, Drosophilidae. The transcript has 3 exons.